Molecule: ribosomal RNA, 264 nt
Filed under: uncultured bacterium
Lineage: Bacteria
Description: partial 16S ribosomal RNA
Rfam family: Bacterial small subunit ribosomal RNA
Source: RNAcentral
UUCGAGUGGCGGACGGGUGAGUAACGCGUGGGUAACCUGCCUUACACAGGGGGAUAACACCUGGAAACAGGUGCUAAUACCGCAUAAGCGCACAGGGCCGCAUGGCCCGGUGUGAAAAACUCCGGUGGUGUAAGAUGGACCCGCGUCUGAUUAGCUAGUUGGUGGGGUAACGGCCUACCAAGGCGACGAUCAGUAGCCGGCCUGAGAGGGUGACCGGCCACAUUGGGACUGAGACACGGCCCAAACUCCUACGGAAGGCAGCAG